This 496-nucleotide ribosomal RNA is filed under the name uncultured Glomus. RNAcentral describes it as "SSU rRNA". It matches the Rfam family "Eukaryotic small subunit ribosomal RNA", at positions 569 to 1070 of the family's 1831-position model. Lineage: Eukaryota; Fungi; Glomeromycota; Glomeromycetes; Glomerales; Glomeraceae. The record is from RNAcentral.
AGCAGCCGCGGUAAUUCCAGCUCCAAUAGCGUAUAUUAAAGUUGUUGCAGUUAAAAAGCUCGUAGUUGAAUUUCGGGAUUAGUAGGUUGGUCGUGCCUCUGGUAUGUACUCGCCUUACUGGUUCCUCCUUCUUGAAGAACUGUAAUGCCAUUAAUUUGGUGUUGCAGGGAAACAGGACUGUUACUUUGAAAAAAUUAGAGUGUUUAAAGCAGGCCGACGCCUGAAUACAUUAGCAUGGAAUAAUGAAAUAGGACGUUGAUCCUAUUUUGUUGGUUUCUAGGAUUGACGUAAUGAUUAAUAGGGAUAGUUGGGGGCAUUAGUAUUCAAUUGUCAGAGGUGAAAUUCUUGGAUUUAUUGAAGACUAACUACUGCGAAAGCAUUUGCCAAGGAUGUUUUCAUUAAUCAAGAACGAGAGUUAGGGGAUCGAAGACGAUCAGAUACCGUCGUAGUCUUAACCAUAAACUAUGCCGACUAGGGAUCGGAUGAUGUUAAUUUU